AUGAACGCUGGCGGCGUGCCUAAUACCUGCAAGUCGAGCGAACAGACGAGGAGCUUGCUCCUCUGACGUUAGCGGCGGACGGGUGAGUAACACGUGGAUAACCUACCUAUAAGACUGGGAUAACUUCGGGAAACCGGAGCUAAUACCGGAUAAUAUAUUUAACCGCAUGGUUCAAUAGUGAAAGACGGUUUUGCUGUCACUUAUAGAUGGAUCCGCGCUGCAUUAGCUAGUUGGUAAGGUAACGGCUUACCAAGGCAACGAUGCGUAGCCGAGCUGAGAGGGUGAUCGGCCACACUGGAACUGAGACACGGUCCAGACUCCUACGGGAGGCAGCAGUAGGGAAUCUUCCGCAAUGGGCGAAAGCCUGACGGAGCAACGCCGCGUGAGUGAUGAAGGUCUUCGGAUCGUAAAACUCUGUUAUUAGGGAAGAACAAAUGUGUAAGUAACUAUGCACGUCUUGACGGUACCUAAUCAGAAAGCCACGGCUAACUACGUG
Molecule: ribosomal RNA, 496 nt
Filed under: uncultured bacterium
Lineage: Bacteria
Description: partial 16S ribosomal RNA
Rfam family: Bacterial small subunit ribosomal RNA
Source: RNAcentral